Vicia faba (fava bean) is the source of this 360-nucleotide non-coding RNA. Lineage: Eukaryota; Viridiplantae; Streptophyta; Magnoliopsida; Fabales; Fabaceae. The record is from the annotation of a GenBank genome assembly.
ACAUUUCAAGAACUUUCUUCUUGCUUAAUAGUCUUUUUAAAAAAUCAAUUCUUCUCAAGUUUCAUCACAUAUACAACUAUGGGCUUUCCUUUCUCUGGUAUCAUCAGAAAGGCAUCAUCUGCUGUAAACCAAGCAGCUUCAAAAACUGCAGACAUGCCAAAGGGAUAUCUUGCAGUAUAUGUUGGAGAAAAUCAAAAGCGGUGUGUCAUCCCCAUAUCAUACUUGAACCAACCAUUGUUUCAAGACUUGUUGAGCCAAGCUAAGGAAGAGUUUGGAUAUGAUCAUCCCAUGGGUGGCCUCACCAUUCCUUGUACCGAAGAUGUCUUUCAACACAUAACUUCUAGCUUUAAUGACCUAUGA